GACGAACGCUGGCGGCGUGCUUAACACAUGCAAGUCGAACGGGAACCUUUAUUUCGGUAAAGGUGAGAGUGGCAAACGGGUGAGUAACACGUAGGCAACCUGCCGACAGGAUGGGGACAACAUUCCGAAAGGGAUGCUAAUACCGAAUGGAGUCCGGAGAUGGCAUCAUCUCCGGAUAAAAGAUGGCCUCUGAACAUGCUAUCGCCUGUCGAUGGGCCUGCGUCUGAUUAGCCAGUUGGCGGGGUAACGGCCCACCAAAGCGACGAUCAGUAGCCGGUCUGAGAGGAUGAACGGCCACAUUGGGACUGAGACACGGCCCAGACUCCUACGGGAGGCAGCAGUGGGGAAUCUUCCACAAUGGGCGAAAGCCUGAUGGAGCAACGCCGCGUGAGUGAAGAAGGUCUUCGGAUCGUAAAGCUCUGUUGCACGGGACGAAAACCGGGUUUGAGAAUAUUGAACUGGGUGACGGUACCGAGCGAGGAAGCCCG
This 488-nucleotide ribosomal RNA is filed under the name Selenomonas sputigena. RNAcentral's name for it is "bacterial SSU rRNA". It matches the Rfam family "Bacterial small subunit ribosomal RNA", at positions 28 to 494 of the family's 1533-position model. The record is from RNAcentral. Lineage: Bacteria; Bacillati; Bacillota; Negativicutes; Selenomonadales; Selenomonadaceae.